GACGAACGCUGGCGGCGUGCUUAACACAUGCAAGUCGAACGCUGAAGACCUGGCUUUUGUUGGGUUGGAUGAGUGGCGAACGGGUGAGUAACACGUGAGUAACCUGCCCCCUUCUUUGGGAUAACGCCCGGAAACGGGUGCUAAUACUGGAUAUUCACUGGCCUUCGCAUGGGGGUUGGUGGAAAGGUUUUUUCUGGUGGGGGAUGGGCUCGCGGCCUAUCAGCUUGUUGGUGGGGUGAUGGCCUACCAAGGCUUUGACGGGUAGCCGGCCUGAGAGGGUGACCGGUCACAUUGGGACUGAGAUACGGCCCAGACUCCUGCGGGAGGCAGCAGUGGGGAAUAUUGCACAAUGGGCGAAAGCCUGAUGCAGCGACGCCGCGUGAGGGAUGGAGGCCUUCGGGUUGUAAACCUCUUUCGCUCAUGGUCAAGCCGCAACAUUGGUUGUGGUGAGGGUAGUGGGUAAAGAAACGCCGACUAACUACGUGCCAAGGCCCGCGGUAAUACGUACGGCGCAACCGUUGUCCCGAAAUAUUGGGCGUAAAGAGCCUCCUAGGCAGCUGGUCCCCCUCUGUCACGAAAACUUCCGGCUCAACCAGGGGUUUGCUCUGGGUGCGGGGCCCGCUAAAAUGCGGGGGGGGGGGGAGUGGAACUCCUGGGUUCCCCUUUCAAUACCCCCAAAACACAAAGAACAUCACUGGUCGCUGCAAGGUUUUGGUGCGCAACCUACAUUGUAACCGGAGGGGGGGGGACAAGAGGAUAACAAACCUGGGGUCCCCGGGGGGAUAUCCCCUUGUUGGUGGGGGCUCCAGGGGGGCCCCCCACCCCCGGGGGGGGGGGCGGAAAAGUUGCCUUUCCCACCGAAAAAAAAAAAAAAACCAUGGGUUCUUCCAUCUUCUA
RNAcentral lists this ribosomal RNA (897 nucleotides) under Parahaemophilus parainfluenzae. RNAcentral's name for it is "Haemophilus parainfluenzae partial 16S ribosomal RNA". The stretch from base 1 to 523 matches the Rfam family "Bacterial small subunit ribosomal RNA", at positions 28 to 545 of the family's 1533-position model. Lineage: Bacteria; Pseudomonadati; Pseudomonadota; Gammaproteobacteria; Pasteurellales; Pasteurellaceae. The record is from RNAcentral.